UUGGGCAUAAAGGGCAUCUAGGCGGCCAGAUAAGUCUGGGGUGAAAACUUGCGGCUCAACCGCAAGCCUGCCCUGGAAACUAUGUGGCUAGAGUACUGGAGAGGUGGACGGAACUGCACGAGUAGAGGUGAAAUUCGUAGAUAUGUGCAGGAAUGCCGAUGAUGAAGAUAGUUCACUGGACGGUAACUGACGCUGAAGUGCGAAAGCUAGGGGAGCAAACAGGAUUAGAUACCCUGGUAGUCCUAGCUGUAAACGAUGAUUACUGGGUGUGGGCAUGAAGAGUGUCCGUGCCGAAGCUAAUGCGAUAAGUAAUCCGCCUGGGGAGUACGGCCGCAAGGCUGAAACUCAAAGGAAUUGACGGGGACCCGCACAAGCGGUGGAGCAUGUGGUUUAAUUCGACGCAACGCGAGGAACCUUACCAGAUCUUGACAUCCUGCGAAGGCCUGCGAGAGCAGGCUGUGCCUCCGGGAACGCAGAGACAGGUGGUGCAUGGCUGUCGUCAGCUCGUGUCGUGA
This 515-nucleotide ribosomal RNA is filed under the name uncultured bacterium. RNAcentral's name for it is "bacterial SSU rRNA". It matches the Rfam family "Bacterial small subunit ribosomal RNA", at positions 554 to 1070 of the family's 1533-position model. The record is from RNAcentral.